RNAcentral lists this ribosomal RNA (490 nucleotides) under uncultured bacterium. RNAcentral's name for it is "bacterial SSU rRNA". It matches the Rfam family "Bacterial small subunit ribosomal RNA", at positions 28 to 512 of the family's 1533-position model. The record is from RNAcentral.
GACGAACGCUGGCGGCGUGCCUAACACAUGCAAGUCGAACGAAGCAUUUGGAGCUGAUCUCUUCGGAGUGACGCACCUUAUGACUUAGUGGCGGACGGGUGAGUAACACGUGAGCAACCUGCCUUUCAGAGUGGAAUAACAGUUGGAAACGGCUGCUAAUACCGCAUAACGUCAUAGUACCGCAUGAUACCUUGACCAAAGAUUUAUCGCUGAGAGAUGGGCUCGCGUCCGAUUAGGUAGAUGGUGGGGUAACGGCCUACCAUGCCGACGAUCGGUAGCCGGACUGAGAGGUUGAUCGGCCACAUUGGGACUGAGACACGGCCCAGGACUCCUACGGGAGGCAGCAGUGGGGGAUAUUGCACAAUGGGCGCAAGCCUGAUGCAGCAACGCCGCGUGCGGGAAGACGGCCUCGGUUGUAACGUACUGUCCUCGGGUAGGAACGAAAUAGACGUACCGAACGAAGGAAGACGACGGCGAACUACGUAGCACG